CAGCAGCCACGGUAAUACGGAGGGAGCUAGCGUUGUUCGGAAUUACUGGGCGUAAAGCGCGCGUAGGCGGUUACUCAAGUCAGAGGUGAAAGCCCGGGGCUCAACCCCGGAACUGCCUUUGAAACUAGGUGACUAGAAUCUUGGAGAGGUCAGUGGAAUUCCGAGUGUAGAGGCGAAAUUCGUAGAUAUUCGGAAGAACACCAGUGGCGAAGGCGACUGACUGGACAAGUAUUGACGCUGAGGUGCGAAAGCGUGGGGAGCAAACAGGAUUAGAUACCCCUGUAGUCCCUGUCUCUUAUAC
RNAcentral lists this ribosomal RNA (301 nucleotides) under uncultured bacterium. RNAcentral describes it as "partial 16S ribosomal RNA". It matches the Rfam family "Bacterial small subunit ribosomal RNA", at positions 509 to 807 of the family's 1533-position model. The record is from RNAcentral.